This 437-nucleotide ribosomal RNA is filed under the name uncultured Clostridiales Family IV bacterium. RNAcentral's name for it is "bacterial SSU rRNA". It matches the Rfam family "Bacterial small subunit ribosomal RNA", at positions 341 to 792 of the family's 1533-position model. Lineage: Bacteria; Bacillati; Bacillota; Clostridia; Eubacteriales; Eubacteriales Family IV. Incertae Sedis. The record is from RNAcentral.
ACGGAAGGCAGCAGUGGGGGAUAUUGCACAAUGGAGGAAACUCUGAUGCAGCAACGCCGCGUGAGGGAAGAAGGUCUUCGGAUUGUAAACCUAAGUUAUCAGGGACGAAACAAAUGACGGUACCUGAAGAGAAAGCUCCGGCUAACUACGUGCCAGCAGCCGCGGUAAUACGUAGGGAGCGAGCGUUGUCCGGAUUUACUGGGUGUAAAGGGUGCGUAGGCGGGCUUGCAAGUCAGGCGUGAAAUCCCGCGGCUUAACUGCGGGGCUGCGCUUGAAACUGUAGGUCUUGAGUGAGGUAGAGGCAAGCGGAAUUCCCAGUGUAGCGGUGAAAUGCGUAGAUAUUGGGAGGAACACCAGUGGCGAAGGCGGCUUGCUGGGCCUUAACUGACGCUGAGGCACGAAAGUAUGGGGAGCAAACAGGAUUAGAUACCCUGGUA